RNAcentral lists this ribosomal RNA (220 nucleotides) under uncultured bacterium. RNAcentral describes it as "partial 16S ribosomal RNA". It matches the Rfam family "Bacterial small subunit ribosomal RNA", at positions 29 to 235 of the family's 1533-position model. The record is from RNAcentral.
AACGAACGCUGGCGGCGUGCCUAACACAUGCAAGUCGAGCGCGAAAAGGGCAACCUGAGUAGAGCGGCGCACGGGUGCGUAACACGUGGGUAAUCUGCCUCAAAGUUUGGGAUAACCUUCCGAAAGGUUGGCUAAUACCGGAUAAGCUCACGAGGUCUUCGGACUUUGUGGGAAAAGGUGGCCUCUGUUUACAAGCCAUCACUUUGUAGAUGAGCCCGCC